UACGAAGGGGGCUAGCGUUGCUCGGAAUUACUGGGCGUAAAGGGUGCGUAGGUGGUCGUUUUAAGUCCGUUGUGAAAUCCCUGGGCUCAACCUGGGAACUGCGUUUGAAACUACAAGGCUAGAGUGUAGCAGAGGGGGGUAGAAUUCCACGUGUAGCAGUGAAAUGCGUAGAUAUGUGGAGGAAUACCGAUGGCGAAGGCAGCCCCCUGGGAUAACACUGACGCUCAUGCACGAAAGCGUGGGGAGCAAACAGG
This 254-nucleotide ribosomal RNA is filed under the name uncultured bacterium. Its description in RNAcentral is "partial 16S ribosomal RNA". It matches the Rfam family "Bacterial small subunit ribosomal RNA", at positions 524 to 776 of the family's 1533-position model. The record is from RNAcentral.